This 266-nucleotide ribosomal RNA is filed under the name uncultured bacterium. RNAcentral's name for it is "partial 16S ribosomal RNA". It matches the Rfam family "Bacterial small subunit ribosomal RNA", at positions 524 to 785 of the family's 1533-position model. The record is from RNAcentral.
UACGAAGGAUGCAAGCGUUAUCCGGAUUUAUUGGGCUUAAAGGGUGCGUAGGCGGACUUAUAAGUCAGUGGUGAAAUCUCGAUGCUUAACAUCGAACGUGCCAUUGAUACUGUAGGUCUUGAGUACAGAUGCCGUUGGCGGAAUGUGUCAUGUAGCGGUGAAAUGCAUAGAUAUGACACAGAACACCGAUUGCGAAGGCAGCUGACGAAACUGUAACUGACGCUGAGGCACGAAAGCGUGGGGAGUCAAACAGGAUUAAGACGUAC